UCCCUAGUGGCUCAGUUGGUAGAGAAUCUGCCUGCAAUGUGGGAGACCUGGGUUUGAUUCCUGGGUUGGGAA
Molecule: transfer RNA, 72 nt
Filed under: Capra hircus (goat)
Lineage: Eukaryota; Metazoa; Chordata; Mammalia; Artiodactyla; Bovidae
Also listed under: 1 other name
Rfam family: tRNA
About the family: Transfer RNA (tRNA) molecules are approximately 80 nucleotides in length. Their secondary structure includes four short double-helical elements and three loops (D, anti-codon, and T loops).
Source: Rfam by way of RNAcentral